ACCUCCCGGGAAGUCCUCGUGUUGCAUCCC
Molecule: small nuclear RNA, 30 nt
Filed under: Arabidopsis thaliana (thale cress)
Lineage: Eukaryota; Viridiplantae; Streptophyta; Magnoliopsida; Brassicales; Brassicaceae
Description: snRNA_07162
Source: RNAcentral